This 482-nucleotide ribosomal RNA is filed under the name Rhodocyclus sp. oral taxon 028. RNAcentral describes it as "bacterial SSU rRNA". It matches the Rfam family "Bacterial small subunit ribosomal RNA", at positions 29 to 500 of the family's 1533-position model. Lineage: Bacteria; Pseudomonadati; Pseudomonadota; Betaproteobacteria; Rhodocyclales; Rhodocyclaceae. The record is from RNAcentral.
AAUGAACGCUUGGCGGCAUCCUUACACAUGCAAGUCGAACGGCAGCAUGACUUAGCUUGCUAGGUUGAUGGCGAUUGCGAACGGGUGAGUAAUGCAUCGGAACGUGCCUUUUAGUGGGGGAUAACGUAGCGAAAGUUACGCUAAUACCGCAUAUUCUCUGAGGAGGAAAGCAGGGGACCUUCGGGCCUUGCGCUAGAAGAGCGGCCGAUGUCGGAUUAGCUAGUUGGUGAGGUAAAGGCUCACCAAGGCAACGAUCCGUAGCGGGUCUGAGAGGAUGAUCCGCCACACUGGGACUGAGACACGGCCCAGACUCCUACGGGAGGCAGCAGUGGGGAAUUUUGGACAAUGGGCGCAAGCCUGAUCCAGCCAUGCCGCGUGAGUGAAGAAGGCCUUCGGGUUGUAAAGCUCUUUUCGGCUGGGAAGAAAUCGCACUCUCUAAUACAGGGUGUGGAUGACGGUACCAGCAUAAGAAGCACCGCUAA